This 97-nucleotide transfer RNA is filed under the name Bacillota bacterium. RNAcentral's name for it is "Firmicutes bacterium (anaerobic digester metagenome) tRNA-Sec". It matches the Rfam family "Selenocysteine transfer RNA". RNAcentral also lists the same sequence under 1 other name. The record is from RNAcentral. Lineage: Bacteria; Bacillati; Bacillota.
GGGAGUAGCUGGCGGCCUGGUGGCGCCCGCGGACUUCAAAUCCGUUUGGUGGGCUGAUGAGGUCCAUGGUGGGUUCGAUUCCCAUCUACUCCCGCCA